AUUGAACGCUGGCGGCAGGCUUAACACAUGCAAGUCGAGCGGGGGAAGGUAGCUUGCUACCGGACCUAGCGGCGGACGGGUGAGUAAUGCUUAGGAAUCUGCCUAUUAGUGGGGGGCAACAUCUCGAAAGGGAUGCUAAUACCGCAUACGUCCUACGGGAGAAAGCAGGGGAUCUUCGGACCUUGCGCUAAUAGAUGAGCCUAAGUCGGAUUAGCUAGUUGGUGGGGUAAAGGCCUACCAAGGCGACGAUCUGUAGCGGGUCUGAGAGGAUGAUCCGCCACACUGGGACUGAGACACGGCCCAGACUCCUACGGGAGGCAGCAGUGGGGAAUAUUGGACAAUGGGGGGAACCCUGAUCCAGCCAUGCCGCGUGUGUGAAGAAGGCCUUAUGGUUGUAAAGCACUUUAAGCGAGGAGGAGGCUACUUUAGUUAAUACCUAGAGAUAGUGGACGUUACUCGCAGAAUAAGCACCGGCUAACUCUGUGCCAGCAGCCGCGGUAAUACAGAGGGUGCGA
Molecule: ribosomal RNA, 515 nt
Filed under: Acinetobacter baumannii Naval-81
Lineage: Bacteria; Pseudomonadati; Pseudomonadota; Gammaproteobacteria; Moraxellales; Moraxellaceae
Description: bacterial SSU rRNA
Rfam family: Bacterial small subunit ribosomal RNA
Source: RNAcentral